This 1050-nucleotide long non-coding RNA is filed under the name Zonotrichia albicollis (white-throated sparrow). RNAcentral describes it as "lncRNA (ENSZALG00000009806.1)". The record is from RNAcentral. Lineage: Eukaryota; Metazoa; Chordata; Aves; Passeriformes; Passerellidae.
GGAACAUCCAGUCCUGUGAGUCAGAGCGCUUCGGUGGCGCUUUCAGCGGCUGCUUCUGCCUCGCAACCGGCCCUGGUGCGUGUGCAGUUCUCAGGAGCAACUUGGGAGCUCCAGGCACAGGUCCCAGCUGCUGUGGUAGCUCUUUGAGGAGAUCAUCCAUUUCCUAGUGUCAGCAGGGCGAUCUGUCUUCAAUCAUUCCUGCUGUUUGCAGAGAGUAAAAAAUCACUCUGGGGAUUUGCUUCUGGGAACAGCGAUCCAUUUACUAAUGGGAGUCAACUGAGUGUCUGUGAGAAAUGAGGAUGCUGCAGAUGGAGUGAUAGGAUGUAGGGUCUGUAGUGAAUAUUUUCAGCCCAGGGAUAACUUGGUGUUCCCUGAAUUGGAUGUGUACUUCUGGUGCCCGAAGGAUCAUCUUAGGCAUAGCACUGGAAAAGUCAGGAAUAAUCAAAAGAUAAGAGCACCAAGUGGGAGGAAGCUGGAAGGACAAUUUUUAGAUUUGACCUUGGGUUCCAGUUCUCAUGGUGGGUCUGUGGUGUCAAAGUACACCUGUACUCUGUGGUGCUGGGGUACCUGUUUGUUCAUGUUUUGAGCUUGGAAGACACACUGGACAUGAAAUUCCAGGGAAGCUGCACUUGCAGUAGUGGCUGGAGCAAGAAGAAGUGGAAGCUGUUUGCUAUCUGCUUGUUCUCCACCUUCAGCUCUGUUUCCUGGGUCUCAGGAAUUGUCUCAUUGUACAGUCUGUGGCGUAACACUUUCCGUGCAAGGAUAAUUGCAGUGGAAGAAGGCAGUUGGAGCCAAGAGCCUGGACUAGGAUGCCCUAGGCCCCUGCCAAGCGCAGGUUACAAAACAGCAAAAAAAAGUCAACAAAAACAAAACAUGUCAACAGACUGGGAGUAGCACAGAAGAUAUACAAAAGAUAAUGACCAGUAAUGAUCAUUAAUGAUCAUCAACUCCAAACAUCACCCCUGGUGAUGGAGUUGGAGACACCUGGUCUGGAAAAGACUCAUAAGAACACCAAGGAAUGAGCAAUAAAUUAGCAUCGGUGGGAAGACA